RNAcentral lists this ribosomal RNA (453 nucleotides) under uncultured bacterium. RNAcentral's name for it is "bacterial SSU rRNA". It matches the Rfam family "Bacterial small subunit ribosomal RNA", at positions 28 to 507 of the family's 1533-position model. The record is from RNAcentral.
GACGAACGCUGGCGGCGUGCUUAACACAUGCAAGUCGAACGGGAGAUCAAUGAAAGCUUGCUGAUUUGGUCUUUAGUGGCGGACGGGUGAGUAACGCGUGAGGACUUGUCCCAGACAGGGGGACAACAGAUGGAAACGUCUGCUAAUACCCCAUAAGCCGAGAGGUAAAAGGAGCAAUCCGGUCAGGGAGAGACUCGCGUUCUAUCAGCUAGUUGGUGGGGCAACGGCCCACCAAGGCGAAGACGGAUAGCCGGACUGAGAGGUCGAACGGCCACAUUGGAACUGAGAUACGGUCCAAACUCCUACGGGAGGCAGCAGUGGGGAAUAUUGGGCAAUGGGGGCAACCCUGACCCAGCGACGCCGCGUGAGUGAAGAAAUCCCUCGGGAUGUAAAGCUCUGUUGUACGGGAAGAUAAUGACGGUACCGUACGAGGAAGCCCCGGCAAACUACGUG